UACGGGGGGGGCAAGCGUUGCUCGGAAUUACUGGGCGUAAAGGGAGCGUAGGCGGACAGCUAAGUCAGAGGUGAAAGCCCAGGGCUCAACCCUGGAAUUGCCUUUGAUACUGGUUGUCUUGAGUAUGGGAGAGGUGUGUGGAACUCCGAGUGUAGAGGUGAAAUUCGUAGAUAUUCGGAAGAACACCAGUGGCGAAGGCGACACACUGGCCCAUUACUGACGCUGAGGCUCGAAAGCGUGGGGAGCAAACAGG
Molecule: ribosomal RNA, 253 nt
Filed under: uncultured bacterium
Lineage: Bacteria
Description: partial 16S ribosomal RNA
Rfam family: Bacterial small subunit ribosomal RNA
Source: RNAcentral